UGCGGGGAAGAAAGGCCUUUCGGGUUGUAAACCGCUUUUAGCCGGGAAGAAAAAGGCAGCUCUGAAUACGGGCUGUUGUUGACGGUACCGGCGGAAUAAGCACCGGCUAACUACGUGCCAGCAGCCGCGGUAAUACGUAGGGUGCGAGCGUUAAUCGGAAUUACUGGGCGUAAAGCGUGCGUAGGCGGUUCGUUAAGUGCGUCGUGAAAGCCCCGGGCUCAACCUGGGAAUGGCGAUGGAAACUGGCGGGCUGGAGUAUGGCAGAGGGGGGUGGAAUUCCGCGUGUAGCAGUGAAAUGCGUAGAGAUGCGGAGGAACACCGAUGGCGAAGGCAGCCCCCUGGGCCAAUACUGACGCUCAGGCACGAAAGCGUGGGGAGCAAACAGGAUUAGAUACCCUGGUAGUCCACGCCCUAAACGAUGCUCACUAGGUGUUGGGGAAGCGAUUCCUUGGUACCGUAGCUAACGCGUGAAGUGAGCCGCCUGGGGAGUACGGCCGCAAGGUUAAAACUCAAAGGAAUUGACGGGGACCCGCACAAGCGGUGGAUGAUGUGGAUUAAUUCGAUGCAACGCGAACAACCUUACCUACCCUUGACAUGUCUGGGAGCCUGCUGAAAGGUGGGUGUGCCUGAAAGGGAACCGGAACACAGGUGCUGCAUGGCUGUCGUCAGCUCGGUCGGAG
Molecule: ribosomal RNA, 680 nt
Filed under: uncultured beta proteobacterium
Lineage: Bacteria; Pseudomonadati; Pseudomonadota; Betaproteobacteria
Description: bacterial SSU rRNA
Rfam family: Bacterial small subunit ribosomal RNA
Source: RNAcentral